UGGUCAAUUGGCAAAUAGAGAAGAAAUGUCACCAAAAAAACACGAAAAGUCACCAAAGCUUAGAGGCAAUGAGUGCGAGAAAUAGAGAUUUAGAGGGAAGGGAGAGCUCCUCGCCAAAACCCUAAGCUCGAUGUCGCCGUUAUCACCGCCGUCGCCACCUUAGGUCAUCUCCUUUUUGCUGUUGCCAUAAAGCUUCCGGGAUCAAGCGAAGGCACCUCCUCUGCCAAUGCAUUCCAAAUCAGGUAGCAAUUUCCAAGCCUUUUCUGUCAACACAUUUCCUCCGAGAACGACGUUGUCGCUGCAUUCGCUUCCUCUCUGCGAACAAUUGUUGCUGCUCUUCUGUUUCUCUUUGGUGGCCAAACUCGUUGCUCAGCUUGCUCUCCGUCGCCGCCAUUUGAACUUUGAAGUAGGUUUUGUUACUUUCCAUGUUGCCACAGCUUCAAUAUAGUGAAAUGCCUUCUUUUUUCUUUAACCAUGAGGAAGAUCCUGAUUUUCUUCAAAUGCUAAGGGAUCAGUUUUCUAACAUUGAAAAAAGCUGAUUGGGUCCUUUGCAAUAGCUUCUACGAGCUGGAAAAACAGAAUGAUCUUGUCCAUGGAUGGGGAAUGGAUAUGAAACUAGGAUAUUGUGCACAGCACUGAAAUUCAACCUAAAUCAAUUCAUUCGCUUACCCGGCCAAUUCCCAGCACAUCCAAUGUGAUAAAAGGUAAGUUACCAAGACCCAGCUAAAUUCUCUGUAUUUCUGAUAUUUCAUAUCUUGGAUUGUUAUUAAUUCUCGGGGUUUUUUAGAACACUUACAUAAAAAAUUGUUCUCUUUUUGAAGCUAAUCAAUUUAUUAGUAGAAGAUUAUGAACUGCAUUUUCAAUUUUCAUAUUUAAAUUUGAGGCUAAAACCUAUUUAAUCAAACAUAAGUGCAUAUAACAGAAAAAACAAUGUCAUAAUUUCAUGACAUGUUAUACAUUUUUCUCGCUCUCUCUGUUCUGUUUCAAUAAUCGAAUUGGGAAGCAUACUCCACUUCGUUGAGGAUAAGACCAUUCUCAUCACUGGAGUCACUGGCUUCCUUGCCAAAAGUACAUAUAUUAUUCUCCCUUUCAAUGUAUAAUUCAUUCAUAUUACUAAAUGUAUUUAUGUGUUUGGUUUUGUAACAUAAAAAUAGUUAAGGUAGAGAAGAUACCGGUGGAAAAGAUACAAAUUUUGCAAAACGAGGUACUAUUAAUACUUACUUAGUCUGUUACACUUGCUUGCUUUUCCAAGUAAUACUAUUAAUUGUUGCAGAUAUCAUAGGCAAGGACUUGUUUAGAUUGCUAAAGGAAAACUUAGGUCCAAACUUCAAUUCCUUUAUAGCACAAAAAUUGACACUCGUCCAAGGGAUAUUUCUCGCCAAGAUUUG
Arachis ipaensis is the source of this 1388-nucleotide non-coding RNA. The record is from RefSeq and is a predicted model, not a curated record. NCBI's taxonomy places the organism in Eukaryota, Viridiplantae, Streptophyta, Magnoliopsida, Fabales, Fabaceae.